GAUGGGGAGAGAGGGAGAGAGAGAGAUGGAUGGGAGAGAGAGAGAGAUGGAUGGGAGGGAGAGAGAGAGAGAGAUGGAUGGGAGGGAGAGAGAGAGAGAGAGAUGGAUGGGAGGGAGAGAGAGAGAGAUGGAUGGAGAGAGAGAGAGAUGGAUGGGAGGGAGAGAGAGAGAGAUGGAUGGAGGGAGAGAGAGAGAUGGAUGGGAGAGAGAGAGAGAUGGAUGGGAGAGAGAGAGAGAGAUGGAUGGGAGGGAGAGAGAUGGAUGGGAGAGGGAGAGAGAUGGAUGGGAGAGAGAGAGAUGGAUGGGAGAGGAGAGAGAGAGAGAUGGAUGGGAGAGAGAGAGAGAGAUGGAUGGAGGGAGAGAGAGAGAUGGAUGGGAGGGAGAGAGAUGGAUGGAGAGGGAGAGAGAUGGAUGGAGAUGGGAGAGAGAGAUGGAUGGGAGGGAGAGAGAGAGAUGGAUGGA
Long non-coding RNA from Ictalurus punctatus (channel catfish), 462 nucleotides. NCBI's taxonomy places the organism in Eukaryota, Metazoa, Chordata, Actinopteri, Siluriformes, Ictaluridae. The record is from Ensembl.